RNAcentral lists this ribosomal RNA (397 nucleotides) under uncultured bacterium. RNAcentral's name for it is "partial 16S ribosomal RNA". It matches the Rfam family "Bacterial small subunit ribosomal RNA", at positions 523 to 918 of the family's 1533-position model. The record is from RNAcentral.
AUACGUAGGUGACAAGCGUUAUCCGGAUUUACUGGGCGUAAAGGGCGCGUAGGCGGUCUUGCAAGUCAGAAGUGAAAUUCAUGAGCUCAACUCGGGCGCUGCUUCUGAAACUGCAGGACUUGAGUGCUGGAGGGGAUAGCGGAAUUCCUAGUGGAGCGGUAAAAUGCGCAGAUAUUAGGAAGAACACCGGUGGCGAAGGCGGCUAUCUGGACAAUAACGGACGCUGAGGCGCGAAAGCGGGGGGAGAAAACAGGAUUAGAUACCCUGGUAUUCCACGCCGUAAACGAUGAAUACUAGGUGUAGGGGGUAUCGACUCCCUCUGUGCAGCAGUUAACACAAUAAGUAUUCUGCCUGGGGAGUACGGCCGCAAGGUUGAAACUCAAAUGAAUUGACGGGG